This 68-nucleotide transfer RNA is filed under the name Helianthus annuus (common sunflower). RNAcentral's name for it is "tRNA HanXRQr2_Chr12g0552581". The record is from RNAcentral. Lineage: Eukaryota; Viridiplantae; Streptophyta; Magnoliopsida; Asterales; Asteraceae.
UCAGCGAUGGCUGGGUGGUUAAGGCGCUGUAUAUCAAUAUAGAGGUCUCCGGUUCGACUCUUGUUGAA